Dreissena polymorpha is the source of this 1562-nucleotide long non-coding RNA. RefSeq lists it as uncharacterized. NCBI's taxonomy places the organism in Eukaryota, Metazoa, Mollusca, Bivalvia, Myida, Dreissenidae. The record is from RefSeq and is a predicted model, not a curated record. The transcript is spliced from 3 exons.
AGGAGAGGUAAGGAGCACUGGGGACCCAUGAUUCAGAUGGUGGAGGAGAGGUAAGGAGCACUGGGGACCCAUGAUUCAGAUGGUGGAGGAGAGGUAAGGAGCACUGGGGACCCAUGAUUCAGAUGGUGGAGGAGAGGUAAGGAGCACUGGGGACCCAUGAUUCAGAUGGUGGAGGAGAGGUAAGGAGCACUGGGGACCCAUGAUUCAGAUGGUGGAGAAGAGGUAAGAUUCCAGUGAUGGCUGCCAUGAAUUAUAUGCGCCACUCUCUGAAAAAAAACCACAGGGUUUAUGUUCAUAAAGUGACGUCCAAGAUUAGCCCGUGCAGUCUUGUACAGGAUAAUCAGUUACGACACUUACAGCCCGUGCAGUCUUGUACAGGAUAAUCAGUUACGACACUUACAGCCUAAUCUGGAUUUUGGCUAAGGAGAGACUUCCUUUAAACAAAAAAAUACAAUAAAAGCAGAAAUCGUCUUUGAUUAGCAUUUGCCUUCUGCACAGGCUAAUCUGGGACGAUGCUUUACGCACAUGCAUUAGACCCAUUUUCUCAGAAAGCGGCUUGUUUGAGCAUUAACUCAUUGGCGGUUGAGUACCAACUGAAGUUGCUUGUGGAUCCCUUUGGGAAAUAAACUUCAGAAAGAAUUAUUUGAAUGCCUUUUUUUUGCUUUUCUUUUUUUCUGUCGCCAAAAGAAAAUAAAUUCAGUACACAAAUUAAAGAUAUUAUGUUUCCAUAUCAUACUAUAGUUGACUAGUGUUUUAUGUCAAUACAAAUAAUUGGCAGUCUUUUGCAAUUAUUCUUUUGCCAGGAUUUUUUUAGCUUGACUAUUAUAUAUAAAAUAUGUAUAGAACAUGUAGUUAGCUCGACUAUUAUAUAUGAAAUAUAUAUAGUAGAGCUAUCCUACUCACCCCUGCGUUUCCGUUCCCGUGUGCGUGAGCGGUGGAAUUUUAAAGUUUGCAUACCACCUCAAAUAUUUCCUAUGUCCCUUGACAUAUUGCUUUUAUAUUUUGCAUACUUCUUUUCCAACAUGACCCCAAUCUAUAAACAAGAGCAGACAACUGUAUCAAGCAUUUUAUGGCCCUUUUUUCACUUAGAAUAUGCAUAUUAUUUAUAAAUCUAUGUUAAAGUUUGCGUACCACCUCAAAUAUUUUCUAUGUCCUUUGACAUAUUGAUUUUAUAUUUUGGAUACUUAUCAGCAUUUUGACAGAAUAAUGGCCCUUUUAUCGUUAGAUAAUUGAACAUUUUGGUAAAGUUUUGUGUUUUGGCACAUUUUACUCCUAAAGUAUCAUAGCUAUUGCUUUCAGACUUGGAAAACUUGCUAACUAUCAUAAGGGGACUGUGCAGGACAAGUUGCAUAACCUAUAUCGUUUUAUAUUCAUGCGUUUGUUGUUUCAUCUUCAAAACAGAAUGGCAGAAUUGUUAAAAUGAUUAUAACUGAAAAGGUAUGUCAACAUGGUUUUUAGCAGCAAUAUGUAUAUGGCCUUUUUCUUUUGAUAAAAAGUGUUAAAUGUUUUUUUCUUCUUUUCAUCUCUAAGUGAGAAGCUUUAUACACUGUUAUGUGAUCUUC